AGGCAGUGUGCCUGCAAGCUCCAGACUGGCGGGCCAAGUGCCUUGGGGGCCAGGCUGGCGGCCUGUCCUUCCGCGGUCAUUUCGGGAGCUCCGGCUCAGCCUGUGACCCCGGGCUAGGGACGAGUCUGCUCGGUGAGAAAGGACGGUGUAGUCAAGAAGCUGCAGGGACUUGGAGAGAUGGAAAGGGUGCCCGUGACAAAUGAAGAGAAAACAAUGUCUGCCAACCUAAAAUAUCUUUCCUUGGGAAUUUUGGUGUUUCAGACUACCAGUCUGGUUCUAACGAUGCGGUAUUCUAGGACUUUAAAAGAGGAGGGGCCUCGUUAUCUGUCUUCUACAGCAGUGGUUGUGGCUGAAUUUUUGAAGAUAAUGGCCUGCAUCUUUUUAGUCUACAAAGACAGUAAGUGUAGUGUGAGAGCACUGAAUAGAGUACUGCAUGAUGAAAUUCUUAAUAAGCCCAUGGAAACCCUGAAGCUCGCUAUCCCGUCAGGGAUAUAUACUCUUCAGAACAACUUACUCUAUGUGGCACUGUCAAACCUAGAUGCAGCCACUUACCAGGUUACAUAUCAGUUGAAAAUACUUACAACAGCAUUAUUUUCUGUGUCUAUGCUUGGUAAAAAAUUAGGUGUGUACCAGUGGCUCUCCCUAGUAAUUCUGAUGGCAGGAGUUGCUUUUGUACAGUGGCCUUCAGAUUCUCAAGAGCUGAACUCUAAGGACCUUUCAACAGGCUCACAGUUUGUAGGCCUCAUGGCAGUUCUCACAGCCUGUUUUUCAAGUGGCUUUGCUGGAGUUUAUUUUGAGAAAAUCUUAAAAGAAACAAAACAGUCAGUAUGGAUAAGGAACAUUCAACUUGGUUUCUUUGGAAGUAUAUUUGGAUUAAUGGGUGUAUACGUUUAUGAUGGAGAAUUGGUCUCAAAGAAUGGAUUUUUUCAGGGAUAUAAUCAACUGACGUGGAUAGUUGUUGCUCUGCAGUGCCUACAGAGAUCAGAAGAAACAUCAAAACCCUUGGAACUGGAGUUUCAGAUGGUUGUGAGCUGCCUAACGUGGGUGCUGGGAACUAAACCCAGGUCUUCUGCAAGAGCAGCAAGCACCCUUAACCACUGAGCAAUCUCUCCAGCUUCCCCAUCUCCUAUUUGCACUUGGAGGCCUUGUAAUAGCUGCUGUCAUCAAAUAUGCAGAUAACAUUUUAAAAGGAUUUGCGACCUCCUUAUCCAUAAUAUUGUCAACAAUAAUAUCUUAUUUUUGGUUGCAAGAUUUUGUGCCAACCAGUGUCUUUUUCCUUGGAGCCAUCCUUGUAAUAGCAGCUACUUUCUUGUACGGUUACGAUCCCAAACCUGCAGGAAAUCCCACUAAAGCAUAGUCAUGUCCUGUCCUUAACUGGAUUCUCACAGUGGUGCCCUAGGAACCUCAACAUUAAUCUUGCACAGAGGACUUCUGCAGAUUCUAUGAAGAAAUCAUCAGGCUAAAUCUGAUCGUUCUGUUCAAAUGGUUUGAAAACGUGUAGCCUUCAGGAUGAAGUGUGUCCGUCAUCUGCAACCCAAGCUUGGAAGAGUGUCCAGGAAGUAGGCUUAGAGGGGAUACUGGGAGGAGGCCUUACGUCUGAGCUCCUAGUGACUUCAGCCUUUUAGUUGCUGUAGCACUGUCCAGUGCAGCCUUUGCAAGAGCACACACAUGCAAAGAAAGAGCAAGGUUUGCAAGGUAGAUCUGCCUACACUUAUCCCAUGUUCUUAACCUUACCCUUUCUGUACAGAUGUAUCAAGCUACAUGAUCUAUUUAAAUGGAAAUUUAUAAUUGCCUAUCAAGCUGUGAACAAACAAAUAUAAUUUAAAACCAUUUUCAUGUAUCCAGGGUUUUAUAUCUAUACAGAGGAUUCCUAAGGAAAGGAUUGACAAGUUUUACUUGUUUAAUUCCAUACGAUUUGAUUAAGUGAUCUGGGUUUGAAUCAUAUUUAAAUUUAGUGUAGAAUCAAUCUCUCUCUCUGUCUCUCUCUGUCUCUCUCUGUCUGUGUGUGUGUGUAUGUGUGUCUGACCAUUUACUGCUUUGAGGCAGCUGAAUGCAGUUUGGUUCUUCCCGUGCUAGAGUGGCAGAGACUGGCCCUAGUGGAGCUUACUCAUCAUUUCCCAGGUCUGUCUCUUUUCUCAUUAUUCUCAUCAUUACAUUAAAUUGAAUUUGUGUGUCCUGCCAUUAAAAAUUUUAAGUGAAUUUAAAGGGAUUAAGUACUCAUUUAAUAAUUGAAAAUAAAAUAAUGAUUACUGUCUAGGCUCCAUUUUGAGAAAUCUAAACUAUGAAGCAUAUAUUGAAUGUAGUUUUGAAAUGGAGAAUUUUCUUGUUAAUCUGCAGUAGCAAUUUCUUUUAAUCUUUGACAGAAACAACAAUCAAAAGAGUGUUAGUUCUCUCAGUGGACCAUGAUUAAACUGAUUUCCUUACAGACAUUCCCUACUGCCAUAUGCUACUUUCUUUUUUCUUUUUCUUAAAGCAUAUUGUAACUUGUUUUUUUGUUUUUCUUAAGGCAGAUUUUCAUUAUGUAGACCCAACUGGCCUUGAACUCACAAAUAUCUAUCUGGCAGCCUCUGCCUGGUGAGUGAUGGGAUUAAAGGUGUGGGCCACUCUGCCCACCUCACUACAUUGUUUUAAGGGAGUUGCAUUAUAUUUUAAGUUCUAAGGCUAUUUAGAAGUUUUUAUGUCUUAAAGCCCACUCUCCCCACCUGAUCAUGUGUCUGGCAGAUGUGACUGCCUUCAGGGUUUCCUCUCUGGUGUUCCUGUGAGUCCUUCUGGGAAGGAGCAACCAUUUGCUUUAGAAUAGUAGAUUUUCUUUCUUUUUAACACUGGAGUUGAGGAUACAAAUUAUGAGUUAUUUAAUAAUAAAUUCAAAGGAGAGAGAAUAUAUUAGAAAUAGUAAAGUAAACCGGGAGGCAAAAAUACGUUCUAUAUUUGGAAUAUAAGUUAUUUAAUUAUUGUCCAUAUGCAGAAUUACCUAUUGAAGAUCUAUUUUAUUCUUUCAUUUAUAUUGUAUAUAUUUUAAAACUUUGUUCAAAUAGAUACAAACCUGUAAAAAGGUAAUUAUUUUUUAUGUAGUUCUAAUAGAUUUUGUUAAAUGGAAUUUGACUCAAAAGCACUGUUGUUAAGAACUGUAAGGUUCCCUUGGCAACCUUGGAUUGGCUAUUUGAUCUUAUCAGAGCAAAUGUACUUUCAACAGUGGACAUGACUAACCAAUUCCAUUCAGAGUUUCAAAGUACUUAAAAUGAUAGAAUAUUUAACAUCAUUGCACCGAUGAGGAUAAAGUGAUAGCAGGCUUUCUGAAUGCCUGGUUUAUGGUUUUCAGUGACUGCCUUUUAGAGCUUGACUAUUUUGAGCAUGGUGUGAGGCCACCACAGCAUUCAAGCAUAUGUCCUAGGACCUAUAACCAAGUACAACCCAGAUCCUGCAAAUGCACAAAGUUCAAGAGGACAGAUUCAUGGUCUGCUCAUAUUAAAGCAUUGUGUGGGCAAGUGUGUUAAUACAGUGUGGAUUCAAAAUGAUUGGUUAUUUAGAUAUGGUCUACCCUGUCUUAACCCUACAGAAAUAUAGACAAAGAAGCAGUUGGAUAGUAAGGUUGUUCAAGUUAUAAUACAUUUUAGGUGUCUGAAAAUCUUUUAUGCAUCAUUUAUAUUUUUCCUUUCUAGUCAGUUAAAAAGUAAUUGGGCUGAAUGUAUAGUCUAAAAAUUUAUAAGGAAAUAAUAAUAUGUGGGGGAAAUGGGCUUGUAACCUAGAUUGUGUCAUAUAUAUUGAUGCUGAAAUUUUGUGUAAUGUGGUUUGUGUUUUGAUGACAUUCAAAGGUGUUAUUGUGUCAUGCUUCCAUAACUCUUCGAUUAUUUAAAAGUUAUGCUUUUAAAGGUGUACUUGUUAUUUCUCAGCUACUUUCACUAAAGGCACGUGUGAGUUCAUGGAGAAGAAGCCUGCCAGCUGAGAGCUGUAGUAAGGUUAGGUACAGCACACUGGGAGAAAGCUUCAUGUCCCGGGCAGGCCCUUAGUGCAGCAACAGCAGCUCCUUACUGGACGCUUUUCAGGUUGUAAGUUACCUGUGCAGUAGAGCAUAGAGGUUGGAGGUUCAGAACUGACAUGUUUACAUCAGUUUCUAUGGAAUGACACAGAAGUUCAUAUGAGAAAAAGGCAGCUUGAUAUUUAAACCACAGUCUAUAUUAAGAAAUUCCAAAAAGAAAUUAGUCGACAUCCUGCUCUGAACCAUAAAAUAGAAUACUGUUCUUACAAAUCCGGUUACUAGACUUUAAAAAUGUCAUUAUACUGUCAUUCAAUGAAGUGUUUUUGUUUCCUUGUCUUUUUGAGGCAGCAUCUUAACUGUGCCACCCUGGCUGCCUGGGGUUUACUGUGUAGACCAGGCUGGCCUGGAAAUCACGGAGAUCCGCCUGCCUCUGCCUUCAGAGUGCUGGGAUUAAAGGUGUAGGCCACCACCCCCAUUUGAGUUUUGUUUUGUUUUACUUAGUUUUUAAAGAAAGGCUUUAGUGUCACUCAUUCUAUUUAAACAUUCAUUGUAGAAUAUUUUAUUACUAUAUAUUUUUACCCGGGAUUUAUAAAAAGUAAUUAUGUUAUACUGAAAGUCAUCUCAAGGAUCUCCAGGAUAAUUAAAGUAAUCGAAUAGGGCCAAUGAAAAUGCACCUUUAUCACAGUCUGGUCCUAUGUGCCUUGCCUUACCAAAUAAAUACCUGACUUUUAUGGAGAAUAUACUGUAAUUUACAACUGUAGACACAUACUUGAAAGUGGGAUUUUUUUUCAAGAAUAACUAUAAUUCUAGCUUUUGGUUGUUUCAACAUUUUCCCUUUAAAUCUAUUGUCAAACCACCUGAUACUGAGUAUCCUAUUAAAGUAUCUAAGUAUCCUAUUAAAGUAUCUAUGAGCAGCACUUGCCUAAGUGAGUUGUGAUAUCUGCACCAUGAUUCAGGUUUGAUACUUUACCAUUUGUAUAUAAUUGUUUGUUUGUUGUUGUUUUUUUUUCUUGUAAGACAUGAUUUGUUGUGAUUUAAAACAAUAUUUUUAAAUGAUUUUGACCCUAAAUUGAUAUAUGUCUGUAUUUCAUUUAUAUAGUUAUUUUUUGAGAUUUGGGAAUAUGAUUUGUUGUAUGUUUAAAUUUUUAUGGAUAUAUAAUUCAAAGGAAUGUAUAAACUGUCUUUUAUUAAGUGGAUUUUUAGAUGAUAAAUUUCUCAUGUCAAUUUUUGGUACCAUUAUUAUCUAUAUUUAAUAGAUAAGAGAAAUAGAUAAUUUCAUAAAUAACUACAUAUAGUUUUCUAUAUUUCCAUUUUCUAUUUUUACCUGUGUCUGAUUUAAUCUGGGGAUUGGUUGCUUAUUUUUAUAUUUUAGGAAUGAGUUGCUUAUCUUCAUCUCUUGGAAACUUUUUAUCACAAGUAAUUUGCUUUGUUUUAGCCAGAAACUAGCUUUUAUUUCAAGUGGUUAGAAUUUCUCUGCCUAUAUAAUAAUCACAGCCGAAAAGUAUUUUGUUUGAAAUAAAAUACUUCUUUGCUGCUGGCA
RNA transcript from Mus musculus (house mouse), 5516 nucleotides. It is a transcript of the gene named solute carrier family 35 (UDP-N-acetylglucosamine (UDP-GlcNAc) transporter), member 3, with no coding region annotated. The transcript has 9 exons. NCBI's taxonomy places the organism in Eukaryota, Metazoa, Chordata, Mammalia, Rodentia, Muridae. The record is from RefSeq and is marked validated.